This 1013-nucleotide ribosomal RNA is filed under the name Pediococcus pentosaceus. Its description in RNAcentral is "bacterial SSU rRNA". It matches the Rfam family "Bacterial small subunit ribosomal RNA", at positions 59 to 1054 of the family's 1533-position model. Lineage: Bacteria; Bacillati; Bacillota; Bacilli; Lactobacillales; Lactobacillaceae. The record is from RNAcentral.
AUGACGUACUUGUACUGAUUGAGAUUUUAACACGAAGUGAGUGGCGAACGGGUGAGUAACACGUGGGUAACCUGCCCAGAAGUAGGGGAUAACACCUGGAAACAGAUGCUAAUACCGUAUAACAGAGAAAACCGCAUGGUUUUCUUUUAAAAGAUGGCUCUGCUAUCACUUCUGGAUGGACCCGCGGCGUAUUAGCUAGUUGGUGAGGUAAAGGCUCACCAAGGCAGUGAUACGUAGCCGACCUGAGAGGGUAAUCGGCCACAUUGGGACUGAGACACGGCCCAGACUCCUACGGGAGGCAGCAGUAGGGAAUCUUCCACAAUGGACGCAAGUCUGAUGGAGCAACGCCGCGUGAGUGAAGAAGGGUUUCGGCUCGUAAAGCUCUGUUGUUAAAGAAGAACGUGGGUAAGAGUAACUGUUUACCCAGUGACGGUAUUUAACCAGAAAGCCACGGCUAACUACGUGCCAGCAGCCGCGGUAAUACGUAGGUGGCAAGCGUUAUCCGGAUUUAUUGGGCGUAAAGCGAGCGCAGGCGGUCUUUUAAGUCUAAUGUGAAAGCCUUCGGCUCAACCGAAGAAGUGCAUUGGAAACUGGGAGACUUGAGUGCAGAAGAGGACAGUGGAACUCCAUGUGUAGCGGUGAAAUGCGUAGAUAUAUGGAAGAACACCAGUGGCGAAGGCGGCUGUCUGGUCUGCAACUGACGCUGAGGCUCGAAAGCAUGGGUAGCGAACAGGAUUAGAUACCCUGGUAGUCCAUGCCGUAAACGAUGAUUACUAAGUGUUGGAGGGUUUCCGCCCUUCAGUGCUGCAGCUAACGCAUUAAGUAAUCCGCCUGGGGAGUACGACCGCAAGGUUGAAACUCAGAAGAAUUGACGGGGGCCCGCACAAGCGGUGGAGCAUGUGGUUUAAUUCGAAGCUACGCGAAGAACCUUACCAGGUCUUGACAUCUUCUGACAGUCUAAGAGAUUAGAGGUUCCCUUCGGGGACAGAAUGACAGGUGGUGCAUGGGUGUCG